CUUUGCUGACGAGUGGCGGACGGGUGAGUAAUGUCUGGGAAACUGCCUGAUGGAGGGGGAUAACUACUGGAAACGGUAGCUAAUACCGCAUAACGUCGCAAGACCAAAGAGGGGGACCUUCGGGCCUCUUGCCAUCGGAUGUGCCCAGAUGGGAUUAGCUAGUAGGUGGGGUAACGGCUCACCUAGGCGACGAUCCCUAGCUGGUCUGAGAGGAUGACCAGCCACACUGGAACUGAGACACGGUCCAGACUCCUACGGGAGGCAGCAGUGGGGAAUAUUGCACAAUGGGCGCAAGCCUGAUGCAGCCAUGCCGCGUGUAUGAAGAAGGCCUUCGGGUUGUAAAGUACUUUCAGCGGGGAGGAAGGUGCUGAGGUUAAUAACCUCAGCAAUUGACGUUACCCGCAGAAGAAGCACCGGCUAACUCCGUGCCAGCAGCCGCGGUAAUACGGAGGGUGCAAGCGUUAAUCGGAAUUACUGGGCGUAAAGCGCACGCAGGCGGUCUGUCAAGUCGGAUGUGAAAUCCCCGGGCUCAACCUGGGAACUGCAUUCGAAACUGGCAGGCUAGAGUCUUGUAGAGGGGGGUAGAAUUCCAGGUGUAGCGGUGAAAUGCGUAGAGAUCUGGAGGAAUACCGGUGGCGAAGGC
RNAcentral lists this ribosomal RNA (643 nucleotides) under uncultured Pseudomonadota bacterium. RNAcentral describes it as "bacterial SSU rRNA". It matches the Rfam family "Bacterial small subunit ribosomal RNA", at positions 83 to 722 of the family's 1533-position model. The record is from RNAcentral. Lineage: Bacteria; Pseudomonadati; Pseudomonadota.